UAAAGGUUUGGUCCUGACUUUACUAUCAGUUUUAGCCAAAUUUACACAUGCAAGUAUCCGCACCCCCGUGAGAAUGCCCCACAGUUCCCCGCCCGGGAACAAGGAGCUGGUAUCAGGCACACUCUAUCAAAGCCCAUGACACCUUGCUUAGCCACACCCUCAAGGGAAUUCAGCAGUGAUAAACAUUAAGCUAUAAGUGAAAACUUGACUUAGUCAAAGCUAAAAGGGCCGGUAAAACUCGUGCCAGCCACCGCGGUUAUACGAGAGGCCCAAAUUGAUAGUCUCCGGCGUAAAGCGUGGUUAAGGUAAUUUAAAAACUAAAGCUGAAUAUCUUCAAAGCUGUUAUACGCAUCCGAGGACAAGAAACUCAAUUCACGAAAGUAGCUUUAUAGCCCCUGAACCCACGAAAGCUAUGACACAAACUGGGAUUAGAUACCCCACUAUGCCUAGCCCUAAACAUCGAUAGCAUACUACACUUGCUAUCCGCCUGGGAACUACGAGCACCAGCUUGAAACCCAAAGGACUUGGCGGUGCUUUAGAUCCACCUAGAGGAGCCUGUCCUAGAACCGAUAACCCCCGUUUAACCUCACCCUUCCUUGUUUCUCCCGCCUAUAUACCGCCGUCGUCAGCUUACCCUGUGAAGGGUUUAUAGUAAGCAAAAUUGGCAUAGCCCAAAACGUCAGGUCGAGGUGUAGCGUAUGGAAGGGGAAGAGAUGGGCUACAUUCCCUAAUAAAGGGAAUACGAACGAUGUACUGAAACACACAUCCAAAGGAGGAUUUAGUAGUAAGCAGGAAUUAGAACAUCCCGCUGAAAUCGGCCCUGAAGCGCGCACACACCGCCCGUCACUCUCCCCAAAUCUACAUUAACAAUAUAAUUAAAACCUUAUAACCACAAAGGGGAGGCAAGUCGUAACAUGGUAAGUGUACCGGAAGGUGCACUUGGAAUAAC
RNAcentral lists this non-coding RNA (949 nucleotides) under Percalates colonorum (estuary perch). RNAcentral describes it as "12S ribosomal RNA". It matches the Rfam family "Bacterial small subunit ribosomal RNA". Lineage: Eukaryota; Metazoa; Chordata; Actinopteri; Centrarchiformes. The record is from RNAcentral.